GGAAAAGAUAACCAUACACUGCCUGAAAAAAGCCAGAGGAAGGAGAAGUCCUGGAACCUCCAAAGUGAAGUGUUGAAAGCCUCUCUGUUAAGAAAUCAGAGCUGGGCAAGACUGGGGCUGAAGGAUUGACUACUUCUCCUGGGCUACUACUCAGAAGAACUAGCCCCCCAACUUGACACUAUUCACACCUGCCACCUCAGCAGCUACAGCAGGAGAACAUGUCCCCAGGCUGAAUUUAGAAAAGAAGUGAAACUUCUGUUCGUUAGUACUCACCUUGGUGUUCUGAGUCUAAACAUGAGACUGGUCCAUUACUCUUUAAGGUAUUUUUAAGGUUCUUUUUAUC
This 343-nucleotide long non-coding RNA is filed under the name Mus spicilegus (steppe mouse). RNAcentral describes it as "lncRNA (ENSMSIG00000023460.1)". Lineage: Eukaryota; Metazoa; Chordata; Mammalia; Rodentia; Muridae. The record is from RNAcentral.